AAUGACUUGGUCUCUAGCGAGGUAUAGAGUUCCUACGAAUUUGGUUCAUUCAUACCCAGUAGGAACUUCAUACCGUGCUCUUGACUGGGCUCAUAGA
Molecule: microRNA precursor, 97 nt
Filed under: Tigriopus californicus
Lineage: Eukaryota; Metazoa; Arthropoda; Copepoda; Harpacticoida; Harpacticidae
Description: microRNA mir-276
Rfam family: mir-276 microRNA precursor family
Source: RNAcentral